CACAGCAGCUUGCUCUCCUGGCUGGCUUCCCGCACCACCUGCAGCGCCACCCCGCGGCCGCCCGUGGCCUGGGACUGUGAAUAUCCUGGACUUGUCAGGGUAGAUGGGCUAGGAUUCUAGAGCCUAGAAUCAAUGCAAUACUCCCUGGACCGCUGCUUUGCUGUUGUUAAUCCUGCUGACCUCAACUUUCUAGCCCCUUCCUGUUUAGACUCUCUGGGAUUAGUGCUUCAGAAGCUAUGCUUCCCUGAAGUCAAAUGAGACCAGUUUAGUAUGCGUAUAUGGGAUUCCAGUUUGUGCCUCUUCAACCAUCCAAAGCCACAUCUGUCUACAUACCCUACAAGGUGUGACCUCUGCAAGGCCAAAAUCAGCACAGAUAACUAAAAGGCAGCUGUCUACAGAAGAGAAUUAAUAAUGGUGUCUGCUGAGGGAGGAUACACUGAUGCCAAAUCAGACCCUCAAAGAUCUUCUAAACCUAUGCUUCCCCUAUCAGAUCUUACUAUUACUGCUGUUAAUGAUAAUAAUUAAAGCUCAUUCUUGC
RNAcentral lists this non-coding RNA (538 nucleotides) under Pan troglodytes (chimpanzee). Lineage: Eukaryota; Metazoa; Chordata; Mammalia; Primates; Hominidae. The record is from RNAcentral.